Transfer RNA from Camelus ferus (Wild Bactrian camel), 74 nucleotides. It matches the Rfam family "tRNA". Rfam says of the family: Transfer RNA (tRNA) molecules are approximately 80 nucleotides in length. Lineage: Eukaryota; Metazoa; Chordata; Mammalia; Artiodactyla; Camelidae. The record is from Rfam.
GAGGGUAUAGCUCAUAGUGGUAGAGUGCACGCUUAGCAUGCAUGAGGUCCUGGAUUCAAACCCCAGUACCUCCU